This is a long non-coding RNA of Papaver somniferum (opium poppy), 1360 nucleotides long. RefSeq lists it as uncharacterized. The record is from RefSeq and is a predicted model, not a curated record. The transcript has 3 exons. NCBI's taxonomy places the organism in Eukaryota, Viridiplantae, Streptophyta, Magnoliopsida, Ranunculales, Papaveraceae.
CCGAAAACGAGAAGAAAAGAAAGAAAAACAGCGGCAGAGAUUAAAAGUGAAUCAGAAAUUCUGAUGAUCACUAUGGUGUUCGAUUAAAGUGUUGAUGGUAUUAUGGAUUUCGAUCGGUGUUUGGUGAUUUAGAGUUUAAGAAGAAAUUGCAGAUGAAACUGAAGAGGGAACCGGAGCUGAAAUUGAUAUGGGUUUGUCGAGAUAAGAGGUUGAUGAUUAAGUUAUGGAUUAAUUGAAGAUGGGAGUUUGAGAGUUCUUGGAUGAUGAUAAGAGUUGGGUUGAGCUCGAUUUGCAACCAGAUAAAGAAAUCAAGUAGAAUUCAGUCUGGAAUUGAUGAAGAUGUUAGGGUUUGUGAUGGAAUUUAGGGUUCAGUCUGGAAUUGAUGAAGAAAUUGAGUUCAAAGAGGUAAUGGAGAAUAGCUAUGAGCUGCUGUAGACGGUGUUUCAGGUGCAGGUAAUGGAGAAGCUUAAGUAUGUGUACAUAUACGCAUGCCUUUUGAGGUACACCAAAUCAAGGUUUAGUGCAUAGCGACGGGGCGGGACAAAGCCGCGCCACACCAGAUCAGGGCUUAAUGCACAGCGAAGGGGCGUGGCGGGCCUCGCCACACCUUUUAGAGAUGACAUCAUGGAGUCUGCAAUCAAGGUUUAGUUGCAUCGAGUCGGGGCCGCCCGUAGCAGUUCAGUUACAUGCCAGUUUUGGUAAAAUAAAAGUUAGUAGGAGGGUUUGCAACUGGUCCUUAUGGAGGAAUGUUCGCUCAAAAUCAAAACGCCUUUGGUGGUUUUUCAGGGUAUGCAUUGCCAUGUGCUCCAUCUCAGACGAACAAAAGGAGCAGAGUUACAGCAUGUCAUGGGAAUGAUUGGAGUCACGUCGAUGAUGAGGAUGAAGAGAGAAAUUGUCAUAAGAAUAGAUCAUGCAGAUAGAAGCCUAUAUAUUCUAUAUAACAUUUUGGUUAUCUUCACAUCUCAUCAAUGCGGAAACAACUACUUAGCUUAAAAUUUAAAUCCUCAAAUUAGAUUGGAGUUGUUCUAAUGAGGUGCAUGGUUCAUACAAACCGCAUUUGGUUCCUUGGGGAUUAGGGACUUCUCUUUGCGAUAUAUUUGCAUGGCAACUAAUAAUCUUUAAUGGGGGUUUAGGAAGUGUGAUGAUGUUGCUUGACGUAAUGGGGGUUUAGGAAGUGUGAUGAUGUUGCUUGACGUAUGACAUAGUUCAUGAGUGUUGCAGAUGACGUCUUAAUACCGUUAAGAGCAUGAGCCUCGGCUAGCCUGUGCAAGAGUGCCAGCUUGGGCUUAAAUCUGUUUAUGCUUAUGAAUCGUAUGCGCUAAAGUGUCUGUAUAUUAAAUCCCAUGUAUAUUAAGAAACU